RNAcentral lists this ribosomal RNA (484 nucleotides) under uncultured bacterium. RNAcentral describes it as "partial 16S ribosomal RNA". It matches the Rfam family "Bacterial small subunit ribosomal RNA", at positions 30 to 507 of the family's 1533-position model. The record is from RNAcentral.
AUUGAACGCUGGCGGCAGGCCUAACACAUGCAAGUCGAGCGGAUGAAGGGAGCUUGCUCCUGGAUUCAGCGGCGGACGGGUGAGUAAUGCCUAGGAAUCUGCCUGGCAGUGGGGGAUAACGUCCGGAAACGGGCGCUAAUACCGUAUACGUCCUGAGGGAGAAAGUGGGGGAUCUUCGGACCUCACGCUAUUAGAUGAGCCUAGGUCGGAUUAGCUAGUUGGUGGGGUAAAGGCCUACCAAGGCGACGAUCCGUAACUGGUCUGAGAGGAUGAUCAGUCACACUGGAACUGAGACACGGUCCAGACUCCUACGGGAGGCAGCAGUGGGGAAUAUUGGACAAUGGGCGAAAGCCUGAUCCAGCCAUGCCGCGUGUGUGAAGAAGGUCUUCGGAUUGUAAAGCACUUUUAGUUGGGAGGAAGAGCAGUAAGUUAAUACCUUGCUGUUUUGACGUUACCAACAGAAUAAGCACCGGCUAACUUCGUG